GCCGCCCCCUUUCUUCUUGCCUAAUACAUGCAAGUUGAGCGCUGAAGGUUGGUACUUGUACCAACUGGAUGAGCAGCGAACGGGUGAGUAACGCGUGGGGAAUCUGCCUUUGAGCGGGGGACAACAUUUGGAAACGAAUGCUAAUACCGCAUAAAAACUUUAAACACAAGUUUUAAGUUUGAAAGAUGCAAUUGCAUCACUCAAAGAUGAUCCCGCGUUGUAUUAGCUAGUUGGUGAGGUAAAGGCUCACCAAGGCGAUGAUACAUAGCCGACCUGAGAGGGUGAUCGGCCACAUUGGGACUGAGACACGGCCCAAACUCCUACGGGAGGCAGCAGUAGGGAAUCUUCGGCAAUGGACGAAAGUCUGACCGAGCAACGCCGCGUGAGUGAAGAAGGUUUUCGGAUCGUAAAACUCUGUUGGUAGAGAAGAACGUUGGUGAGAGUGGAAAGCUCAUCAAGUGACGGUAACUACCCAGAAAGGGACGGCUAACUACGU
This 496-nucleotide ribosomal RNA is filed under the name uncultured bacterium. RNAcentral's name for it is "partial 16S ribosomal RNA". It matches the Rfam family "Bacterial small subunit ribosomal RNA", at positions 36 to 506 of the family's 1533-position model. The record is from RNAcentral.